RNAcentral lists this ribosomal RNA (403 nucleotides) under Verrucomicrobiota bacterium. Its description in RNAcentral is "Verrucomicrobia bacterium partial 16S ribosomal RNA". It matches the Rfam family "Bacterial small subunit ribosomal RNA", at positions 355 to 776 of the family's 1533-position model. The record is from RNAcentral. Lineage: Bacteria; Pseudomonadati; Verrucomicrobiota.
UGGGGAAUAUUGCACAAUGGGCGCAAGCCUGAUGCAGCAACGCCGCGUGAACGAUGAAGGUCUUCGGAUCGUAAAGUUCGGUUGCAGGGGAAGAUAAUGACGGUACCCUGUGAGGAAGCCCCGGCUAACUACGUGCCAGCAGCCGCGGUAAUACGUAGGGUGCUAGCGUUAUCCGGAUUUACUGGGCGUAAAGGGUGCGUAGGUGGUCCUUCAAGUCGGUGGUUAAAGGCUACGGCUCAACCGUAGUAAGCCGCCGAAACUGGAGGACUUGAGUGCAGGAGAGGAAAGUGGAAUUCCCAGUGUAGCGGUGAAAUGCGUAGAUAUUGGGAGGAACACCAGUAGCGAAGGCGGAUUUCUGGACUGCAACUGACACUGAGGAACGAAAGCGUGGGUAGCAAACAGG